ACCACAUCCCGUCCGAUUUGUGAAGUUAAGCGUGCACAGGCCUCGUUAGUACGGCGAUCAGUGAUGGCGCUGGAACCCGGGGUGCCGUACCCU
Ribosomal RNA from Trypanosoma cruzi strain CL Brener, 93 nucleotides. Lineage: Eukaryota; Euglenozoa; Kinetoplastea; Trypanosomatida; Trypanosomatidae. The record is from Rfam.